Molecule: long non-coding RNA, 1885 nt
Organism: Rosa chinensis
Lineage: Eukaryota; Viridiplantae; Streptophyta; Magnoliopsida; Rosales; Rosaceae
Exons: 3
Source: RefSeq, a predicted model, not a curated record
CUCAAAAAUAUCAAAGCUUAAUCUUCUCUCCAUUUUGAUCAGAAAUCCCAGAGCUCCGAUUAGAAAUCCAAAAGGUAGAAGACGAAGCUCAAACUUCACCUGGCGUCACAGCGCAAACCUAAUAAGUCACCUACAUGCCCAGACCCAACGACGGAGCUCCGAGUGCCCAAAACAUUAUCCCGGCGACAGAAUUGGACUGCUCCUAAUGAACGCCGUCGAGCCGGUGAUCGAGUAGCUCGAUCUAUUUGGUUUUGAUGUGAUUUAUCAAUGGCUAGUUCUUCGUUAUCUCAAUAGGUCUACUGGUACAAUUUGAUUUUGCUCAAUUCUAUUUGUGAUAGAAGCAUCAAAAUGAUCUCUGUGGAAGCAAUUGCAUUACUGGAGUUGUGUAUGCUUUGUAUUGAUCACGUUUUUAGUUUUUGUAGUAUUGGCUUUUAAUUUCUUACUAUUUCUAGGGUUAGGUUAAGGUUGAACUCUUUGAUUUUCAAUCACUAUAUGUAUUUGAGCUGAAAUUGAUCUAGUGCUCCGUUUUUGUGCUCUCUCUAUUUGUGGAAACUUGUAGGCUAUAGUGUUGCUAAAUGUUAAACUACUAAAAGAAUGUUUUUGUUGUCUCUAUUUAGGGGGUGAUGUUGCUAUUGAAUGUCUUGGAACUUUCUUUUUGUUACCGUAUGGUGUUGGGUAGUAUAUAUAAUGAGGAUGAUUAGGUUCUUAUAACUAGACAAUUGUUUAUUGCCUGUUGUUUUUACCAGGCUUUAACUUAUGAUAUGAGUUAGGUUAAACCAAGUCCUAUAACUCCUAUUCCAUUUGGUUCAAAUCCAAAUCUGCCCCAUUAGAUUUGGGUGGAGGGUGGCUUACAUGUGCCAUCCGAACAGCCAUGAAAUGAUGAAAGAACGAAUCUAUGGAACUCAGAGUAAAAUUGAAGUGUUGAAAAGUUAAAAGAAUUGCUGGAAGUAACAUGCAAUGUGUGAUGGAAUUGUGUUAGAGCUCUGUAUGAUGUUAUUAGGUUUCUCGUAUUCAUUUUAGAUAUUUUUGUUAAGAACAUGAUUUAAUUUGAUACUACUGCUACUUCACUGAUUUUGCAUGCAGGUUCGGCUUGUCAAGGAGUUAUAUGGUAACCAGAUUAAAGAAAUUCACUAUAGCCUGACCUAGCUACCACUUGAUUUUGUUUGCAAUUGCUGAUUUUGGCUAGUCACAUGGGUUUUAUAUAUUGAGUCAUUUCCUUAUGAAGGUUAUCUUUUGAGAUCGAUCAGCAGUUUGUUAUUGUUGCUCUGAUACGCAAAUAUCCUAAGUUGCAAAAUCAUAAACUCGCCAUUUCUAUAUUUCUUUGAGAGACAAAUGUAGCUGGUAAUACUUGUUGCUUUUGAUAUAUGUUGUCACAUGAUAAUAGAUUGUUUUCUAAGUCAUCAAAAUAAAUACACUGAUUUUUGAAUGUGGUAAGCAUGAACAGAUUCAUCCUCUUGAGUAGAAAUAUUUAUUAUCAUGCUGAAGAGUGUAAUUUUCUCUUUUGCAGCAAGGUAAUUGUUAAGCUUAAGUAUGCAAAUCUUGUUUCUAUACUUCCAACCAAUGUCAGUGUAGUAGUAUGGCCCGUUUAAAUAUGGAGAUUCAGUCUAAAUAUAUCAACCAUGAAUACACUGGAAGGUCCAACUUGUCUACUCUAUGCAGAGGAUGCCUUACGAACAACCAAAUCACCAAAUGGGUCUGGUGAUUUGGCUUCCAUGAUAUAUGAAUAUGCCUAAAAGGCCUAAAGUUUACUCCAUGAUAUAUAAAAUUGUUGAGCAAUAUUGUAGCUAUAAUGAUGUACUUUCAGUUGCAUUUGACAUAAUAAUUGCUUUGCCAAUAACUUCACUGGCCAGUAACUUUUUUGUGACAUAGUCAGUGUCUUAACUAG